This 301-nucleotide ribosomal RNA is filed under the name uncultured bacterium. RNAcentral's name for it is "partial 16S ribosomal RNA". It matches the Rfam family "Bacterial small subunit ribosomal RNA", at positions 509 to 807 of the family's 1533-position model. The record is from RNAcentral.
CAGCAGCCACGGUAAUACGAAGGGGGCUAGCGUUGCUCGGAAUGACUGGGCGUAAAGGGCGCGUAGGCGGCGGCCAAAGUCAGGCGUGAAAUUCCCGGGCUCAACCUGGGGGCUGCGUUUGAUACUUGGUUGCUUGAGUGGGGAAGAGGGUCGUGGAAUUCCCAGUGUAGAGGUGAAAUGCGUAGAUAUCGGAAGGAACACCUGUAGCGAAGGCAGCCCCCUGGGCCAAUACUGACGCUCAUGCACGAAAGCGUGGGGAGCAAACAGGAUUAGAUACCCGCGUAGUCCCUGUCUCUUAUAC